CAGGUCUAUUACUCAGUCAGAGGGAGGGAGAGAGGUCACACUGUGGUACAGGUCUAUUAUAACUGUUAGAGAGAGAGAGGUCACACUGUGGUACAGGUCUAUUACUCAGUCAGAGGGAGGGAGAGAGGUCACACUGUGGUACAGGUCUAUUAUAACUGUUAGAGAGAGAGAGGUCACACUGUGGUACAGGUCUAUUACUCAGUCAGAGGGAGGGAGAGAGGUCACACUGUGGUACAGGUCUAUUAUAACUGUUAGAGAGAGAGAGGUCACACUGUGGUACAGGUCUAUUACUCAGUCAGAGGGAGGGAGAGAGGUCACACUGUGGUACAGGUCUAUUAUAACUGUUAGAGAGAGAGAGGUCACACUGUGGUACAGGUCUAUUACUCAGUCAGAGGGAGGGAGAGAGGUCACACUGUGGUACAGGUCUAUUAUAACUGUUAGAGAGAGAGAGGUCACACUGUGGUACAGGUCUAUUACUCAGUCAGAGGGAGG
Oncorhynchus keta (chum salmon) is the source of this 492-nucleotide long non-coding RNA. RefSeq lists it as uncharacterized. The transcript has 3 exons. Lineage: Eukaryota; Metazoa; Chordata; Actinopteri; Salmoniformes; Salmonidae. The record is from RefSeq and is a predicted model, not a curated record.